RNAcentral lists this ribosomal RNA (631 nucleotides) under uncultured bacterium. RNAcentral's name for it is "bacterial SSU rRNA". It matches the Rfam family "Bacterial small subunit ribosomal RNA", at positions 90 to 718 of the family's 1533-position model. The record is from RNAcentral.
GACGAGUGGCGGACGGGUGAGGAAUACAUCGGAAUCUGCCCGGUUGUGGGGGAUAACGUAUGGAAACUUACGCUAAUACCGCAUACGACCGAGAGGUGAAAGCGGGGGAUCGCAAGACCUCGCGCGAUCGGAUGAGCCGAUGUCGGAUUAGCUAGUUGGCGGGGUAAAGGCCCACCAAGGCGACGAUCCGUAGCUGGUCUGAGAGGAUGAUCAGCCACACUGGGACUGAGACACGGCCCAGACUCCUACGGGAGGCAGCAGUGGGGAAUAUUGGACAAUGGGGGCAACCCUGAUCCAGCAAUGCCGCGUGUGUGAAGAAGGCCUUCGGGUUGUAAAGCACUUUUAUCCGGAACGAAACGCGCUGCGUGAAUAACGUGGUGAACUGACGGUACCGGAGGAAUAAGCACCGGCUAACUUCGUGCCAGCAGCCGCGGUAAUACGAAGGGUGCAAGCGUUACUCGGAAUUACUGGGCGUAAAGCGUGCGUAGGUGGUUUGUUAAGUCUGCUGUGAAAGCCCCGGGCUCAACCUGGGAAUGGCAGUGGAUACUGGCAAGCUGGAGUGCGGUAGAGGGUAGUGGAUUCCCGGUGUAGCGGUGAAAUGCGUAAAGAUCGGGAGGAACACCAGUGGCGA